AGUUACCUGAAAUGUGCGAUACCUCUUGUUAUUUUUGAACCUACAUUUCUUUUAACGGGAUUCCUACAUUGCCGAGCGGCUGUCAAGCCUUCCCUCGAAAGAGGAAUGCAGAGGAAGACAAAAGUUCGGUUGCGGUUGCCCACCUAGCAUUUGCUAGGAGUCAAAAGACAAGAGCCGGCAUUUCGGGAUGUUU
RNAcentral lists this non-coding RNA (193 nucleotides) under Clostridium sp. Its description in RNAcentral is "6S RNA". It matches the Rfam family "6S / SsrS RNA". Rfam says of the family: E. coli 6S RNA was the first non coding RNA to be sequenced, but its function was unknown until recently. It consists of 184 nucleotides that fold into an extended hairpin structure with a large single-stranded internal bulge. Lineage: Bacteria; Bacillati; Bacillota; Clostridia; Eubacteriales; Clostridiaceae. The record is from RNAcentral.